GACGAACCGAGCGAACGUUGUUCGGAAUAACUGGGCUUAAAGGGCGCGUAGGCGGGCUGUCAAGUUUGGGGUGAAAUGCCACGGCUCAACCGUGGAACUGCCUCAAAUACUGACGGUCUCGAGGGAGGUAGGGCGAGCGGAACGGAUGGUGGAGCGGUGAAAUGCGUUGAUAUCGAUCCGGAACUCCGGUGCGAAGGCGGC
This 201-nucleotide ribosomal RNA is filed under the name uncultured bacterium. RNAcentral's name for it is "partial 16S ribosomal RNA". It matches the Rfam family "Bacterial small subunit ribosomal RNA", at positions 524 to 725 of the family's 1533-position model. The record is from RNAcentral.